GGGGAGCAAGGCCUGCGGGGAGGCGCAGGAUGGACGCGUUGGCUGUCAUGAUGUAGGACCUCCUGACCUAGAACCAUGCCCGGCGCAGGGAGAACAACGAGCUUACGGACCGGGUGCGGGGGCUGCUGUGCGAGAAAGCCUACCUGCUGGCCCGGGAGCGUUCGCCGGCCCACCUGGUGGCUUUCCCUGGACGUUUAACGGCGACUCCGCCCGGCCUCCCGACUUUUUGAUGCAGGCGUUCUCUUACAUGACUUUCUUCGAGGCUAGAUUCUCGAAAGACAUCCUGAAGGUGGCUUUCUUAAUUAGCUGCCUCACCGGCUGGCGGAGCAGUUCGUAGUCGCCUACAUCGAGAGGGAGAGCCCCGUCCUGGCUCAGUACUGGGGCUUCGUGGACGCGCUGUAGCGGGUCUUCGCCGUCGUGGGUAGGAAACAGUCGGGCCGGAUCCCCGGUGUCUGGGGAGCGGCUGCCGGCCGGGCCCGCGCGAGCCGCUUCACUCCUACAAGCCCGGCUCACUAGUUCCAAGCUGCUGGACUUUGACCCUCGCUGGGAAGCUUGAUCGCCGCCUGUUCUCGCCAAUCUCUAUGCCUUUGCACUGCCCAGCAACCCGGUCACUGCCCAGGACCUGUUAAAAGUUGAAUGGACCUCCCAGAAUCACGCCGCUGCCACCGCCGUUUCUAGAGACGGCUUUUGGCCACCUUUGAGAAUCAGGGUCAAACUUGGAAGGGCCUGCAUUUGUCACACUUCCUCGGACACUAAUUUGGAUAGUUCAGGCCCAGAGACGGCUUCCCGGGUUAGUGUGCCUGACAACACUGAAGAAAAAUUGUGACAUUUUCCUUCCCCAGAAUUACUUCGUUUUAUACAUUUCACUUCUCUUCUGAAAUCACAGCAAUGCCAGUUUGCGCCUUUUGGUCUGAGGAACGCAGGCCCUGGCCACUACCAGGAAAAAGUAUUUACUUUUAAAACUUGAAUGUAUAUCUUUACCGUAUGCCUAGUACAGUAGUGCUUGGAAGAAACAGAUUAGUAAGACAAAAUAUAUGUCUUCAAGAACACUUACGUUCUGAGAAAGAAUUCUGAAUGCAGAUUCUAAUGUCUGGUAAAAUGCUUUACAGUGUAAAGAAUGCAUAUAUGAUUCUUAUUUUAUGGCAUUUUAAACUUUCCACCCCACGGUUUUAAAGUGUUAAUAUAUGUUAAAAAUAUAUGCAAUUUAUAAAGGAGAAGGAAAGCCCAGCUUGAUUUUUGCUGCCAAAGAUGGUAUAUUUAAAAUUAAACGUAACUAAUGGCAAAAAAUAAUGGGAAUGGUGCAGUCUUUGAGCUGUAUCCAGUUGGCAUUAUUCUCUUGGACUAAAAGGAAUAGUAUUAACUUCCUCACUUUGGGUAAGCCACUUUAGAUUUUUGGGCUGCAGUUUUCUCAGGUAAUUAGAGACUUUAUAUUAUGAAAGUUUGGUUCACAAUUCUUUGAGUCUCUUUUGGGAACAAAGAAGGUAAGAGGAGGAUAUGUGCCCUCCUCUCAAUCAAGGGGUUUCUUGAAACCCUCUAAGGAGAAAAAUCUGAAACUGCCUUUCCUAAAACGUUCAUGGGUUUGUCAUUCUGAUGAUCAAUAUCGUCCCACUGAAGUAUCUUUUUGAAUUCCUAGUUAGGAAUCUUUAUGUUAAGAUAAACUGAUCACUCUCUCCUUCGUGGACAGUUUAUCUACCUAAAGAUGAUAGGGGAAAACACUGUUUUUGAAAGACGAAAUAAAGACAUGUUGUAGCAGUUAUUUUAUUGCCAGUUAGUAUUACAAAAGUUCCUAAGGAACUCCCCAUUAACUUGGCCUCAUAUGAACUACGCUUGAGUCCCGUUUUAAAUUGAGUCUUGAUCGUAUUUACUGACAGUUUCAAAGCAGCGUUUUUUUUUUUCCUCCAUAGUAAAAAACCUACAGGAUACCACCACCAAAGGAAAAAACAAGUUUUUUUCAGUAAACCUCACAAGAGCAUACAUUUGAUAGAAUACACGGAUUUUCUAAUGAAAGCUCGCCGUCACCAUUUUAUAAGUCAGAACAUGAAAGUCAAAAUAUCUCAUACAGAUGUCUUUUUUUUUUGAGAAGGUACACAAGGCUUGCUUGUAGAGAUGGAGUUACAUGGAGGGACAGAAGGUCACUGGUCAGUGAUUUUAGGUUUUUAUACUUCUGAAAACAGGUAAUUACAGAUUCUGAUCAGUUUAUCAUUUUCUUUAGUCUUUUAUUUUCUGCUGAAUGCUCUCAAGGGAACGGAUCCAUACCUGUUUAUCAGGCUCACCUGGAAGAGCCAAGUCAUCCACUCAGGUCUUCCUCUGGACCUGCAUAAUUUCCUCAUUUACUAGAUUGGGUUUCUUUUAUGUGUGGGCUUUUAAUGCUUGGUAUCUCUGGUCUUCCUAAUAUGUAAUGCUUAGCAUAAUAAUUUUAGCCAUUAUUCAUUUUUGUAGUAGGCUUCACUAGCUUCCUGCUUCUCAAAUCCCUUGAAAAGAUGAGAUUUUUUUUUCGUGGAGUUCACGUCUAGUAAGUUGGUCUUGAUUUUUUUUUUCUUUCAGAACCUUCUGGAUUUCAGCUUUGGCAAGCUUCCUCUGUUUCUGAGACACCUCCAUCACCUGGGUUACAAUCCCAUCCAUGAUUUUCCCCAUCUCCAGGCAUUUUUCAUGGAAAGCUCCUCAUGCUUUUUAAUUCCAGUUUAUCCAUUUGUGUGGCUUUAACCUCCACAUCCAGGUCUUUCUGGCUAAACUGCAGUAUAUCCACAAUGGGGCCAAUGGACACAUAAGGGAGGCCCUAUCACAGGAACACGAACACCCGGAGUCGCUAGAAAUCAGAUUCCACCGGCUUUGCUUCAGGCCGACUUCCUAAGGAAGGCAUGGUAGCAUCACAGAUGCUGUUUGUCUCAGUUUCCUGAGAAGCCAGUUUCUUAGAGCUGUCAUUCAAGAGUGGGUCAAAUUUGAGAUAUAAAAACCUUUCUCAAGGUAGACUCUUUGGCCCCUAUGCCUAGUAUGUCAGCUGGGCCUCUGAAGCUCUCCUCUUUGAGGUCCUGGCAGGCUCUGGCCCCUGUUGAGAAGGGGAAGCAGUCAUGUGAACUCAUGUGCUGGAAGAAUCCACUCUACCCCUUCCCUGGCUUCUCUGCUGCAAUUUUUGUCUUUAAACGUAUUUUCAGUUUCCUUGAUGGAGAACUAUCAAAGCAGUCAAAGCUAUCAAAAUAAAAAAGAAUUCUGAUUGGGUGCAGUGGCUCACACCUGUCAUUCCAGCACUUUGAGAGGCCAAGGUGGGCAGAUCACAUGAGGCCAGGAGUUCAAGACCAGCCUGGCCAACAUGGCAGAAACCCCAUCUCUACUAAAAAUACCAAAAUUAGCCGGGCAUGGUGGAACACACCUGCAAUCCCAGCUACUCGGGAGGCUGAGGCAAGAGAAUCGCUUGAACCUGGGAGGCAGAAGUUGCAGUGAAACAAGUUGGUGCCAAUGCAUUCCAGCCUGGAUGAUGGAGCGAGACUCUGUCUCAAGAAAAAAAAAACAAAAACAAAAACAGAACUCUGCCUCAUAGCGUCUUUUAAGUUAUACACUGGACCUAUCCUUUCCUCACUGACAGACAUUUUAAAAAUUUUUUGGUAAGGCCUAGUUCAUAUAAAAUGUAAUCCAAGCCAAAAGUUAACAAGAAUAAGGGGAGGAAAGGGGACUCCAAUAGCAGAGAAAGGUAUUUACCUGGGAUAUACACUGCAAGAAAAUCAAAGCUAUAAGAAACGUCCAUGAAUAGUAGCCAUAAGGCAUCAGAGUGAUAAAAUUCCUGUCCCUAGGAGGGAAUAUUGGAGUUUGCCAGAGAAACAGAAUGAGAGAGACAGAGAGGUUUAUUGUAGGAAUUGGCUCAUAUGAUUACGGAGGCUGAGAAGACCCACGAUCUGCCAUCUGCAAGCUGGAGAAUCAGGAAAGCUGGAGGUGUAAUUCAGUCAAGUCCAAUGGCCAGAGAAGCAAGUGUACUGAUAUCCAAGAGCAGGAGAAAAUAGAUGUCCCAGAACAAGCAGAGAGGCUGAUUUUGUCCUUCCUCUGCCUUUUUGUUUCAUAUGGGGCACUGAAUGGACUGAUGCCCAUCCACAUUAGUGAGGGUGGAUCUUCUUUACUCAGUCUACCAGUAGAAAUGUCAAUGACUUCCAGAAACACCCUCACCAACACACGUGGAAAUAAUGUUUUACCAGGUAUCUGGGCAUCCCUUGGUUCACUCAAGUUGACACAAAAUUAACCAUCACAGAAGGAGACUGGCCUUACUCUGAAAUUAGGAAACUAAAGAAGUGACCAGAAUGGAGACUAGGUAGAGACAACUAGUUCUCUACCAAACAUGUACAGUUAUUCGUUGGUAUCUGAAGGGGAUUGGUUCCAGGAACUCUCAGGGAUACCAAAAUCUGCAGGUGCUCAAGUCAUUUAUAUAAAAUAUUACAGUAUUUGCAUAUAACCUUUGCACAUCUUCCAUAUACUUUAAAUCAUCUCUACAUUACUUAUAAUAAUGAAUGUGUAAAUGCUAUGAAAAUAGUUACUACACUAUUGUUUAUUUGUAUUUUUAUUGAAUUGUUUUGGGGUGGGGGGCAGCUGUAUCUUUCUUAGUAAUAGAACCCCUGGUUUUAGCUGGGCACAUGACUGCCCUCAAUAAAGAUUAAAGUACCCCAGCCUUCCUUGAGAUUGUGGCCAUGUGACUGAACUUUAGACAGUGAGAUAUAAGCAGAUAUCUUCUGUGGCAGUGUUAGGAAAC
This 4729-nucleotide long non-coding RNA is filed under the name Homo sapiens (human). Its description in RNAcentral is "long intergenic non-protein coding RNA 667". Lineage: Eukaryota; Metazoa; Chordata; Mammalia; Primates; Hominidae. The record is from RNAcentral.